UAGGUGGAUGCUCGGUGGUUGGAGCGUUUAGCUGUUAACUAAAAGUUUGUAGGAUCAAAGCCUUCCCUCCUAG
Molecule: transfer RNA, 73 nt
Filed under: Larsonella pumila
Lineage: Eukaryota; Metazoa; Chordata; Actinopteri; Gobiiformes; Gobiidae
Description: tRNA-Asn
Rfam family: tRNA
About the family: Transfer RNA (tRNA) molecules are approximately 80 nucleotides in length. Their secondary structure includes four short double-helical elements and three loops (D, anti-codon, and T loops). Further hydrogen bonds mediate the characteristic L-shaped molecular structure. tRNAs have two regions of fundamental functional importance: the anti-codon, which is responsible for specific mRNA codon recognition, and the 3' end, to which the tRNAs corresponding amino acid is attached (by aminoacyl-tRNA synthetases). tRNAs cope with the degeneracy of the genetic code in two manners: having more than one tRNA (with a specific anti-codon) for a particular amino acid; and 'wobble' base-pairing, i.e. permitting non-standard base-pairing at the 3rd anti-codon position.
Source: RNAcentral